AUGCACGACACGGAAGGCCUAUCGUUCAUGAAGCAUGGUUGUGUCUUCAGUGCGCACCGCCGGAUGAACGACAUGCUGGGACACGCUAUCCCUGAUUUAUGCCGCUUCAGCUUGGAUGAGUCUCCAUCGUGUGGAACCGGACUAGAAAGCUGCAUCAAUGAUUCUCAUUGCCCACUGCUAUGGAUCGUGCCAUCCAUGAAGAACACAUGGGACUGGAACCUGGAGGAGGACAUUUGUUGCACGGGCUCCAACACGCUCUUUGAGAAAAAAAGCCUUACCCAGUACUGCCAUCUCUUCUUCUUCCUCCUCUCUUCCCCAUCAUCGGCCGCACACCAUUUACCCCCGCUCACUGCUCGCCCGCCCGUGCCAUCUUCCUUGGUAGCUCGCGCGUACCAUAUCCCCCCGCUCACUGCUCGGCCACACGAGGAGAAGCUUCUUCGCUCGCCCCCCCGAAUCCACUUCCCCGUUGGCUCACAGGCACCGAAAACCCCAAUGUCGAAGAAGGAUUGGCCGGUGCUACCGACUGGCGUCAAGUUCAAUCCCACAGAUCAGGAGCUGAUCGAGCACCUUGAGGCCAAAGUGAGUGCUGACAGCGCGAGAUUUCAGUCUCUCAUCGAUUUGUUCAUACCAAGCAUCGACAGCGAGCAUGGCAUAUGCUACACCCAACCUGAGAAACUUCCAGGUAUCACACUGAGUGUCCUAAGGAAGCAUUUCUUCCAGCGCAAUUCUAGGGCGUUCAAAAGGAGGACCAACUGGGUGAUGCACCAGUACCACCUCGGGGACCUGGAGCAAGAGAAGGAGCGGGAGCUGGUCCUCUGCAAGAUUUUCUACCAGACGAACACUAGGGCCAGGAGUAAAAAGAUUAUAAGUCGAGCAAGUUUCAACUGGGCUGUAGACUGCCUAGGGUUGGUUUUGUUUUUAACAGGCCCAGCCCAUGACGACAACGGGGCACAAAGAUCCAGCAGGUAG
This 969-nucleotide ribosomal RNA is filed under the name Triticum aestivum (bread wheat). RNAcentral describes it as "partial small subunit ribosomal RNA". Lineage: Eukaryota; Viridiplantae; Streptophyta; Magnoliopsida; Poales; Poaceae. The record is from RNAcentral.